GUGGGGAAUAUUGGACAAUGGGCGAAAGCCUGAUCCAGCCAUGCCGCGUGUGUGAAGAAGGUCUUCGGAUUGUAAAGCACUUUAAGUUGGGAGGAAGGGCAUUUACCUAAUACGUAAGUGUUUUGACGUUACCGACAGAAUAAGCACCGGCUAACUCUGUGCCAGCAGCCGCGGUAAUACAGAGGGUGCAAGCGUUAAUCGGAAUUACUGGGCGUAAAGCGCGCGUAGGUGGUUUGUUAAGUUGAAUGUGAAAUCCCCGGGCUCAACCUGGGAACUGCAUCCAAAACUGGCAAGCUAGAGUAUGGUAGAGGGUGGUGGAAUUUCCUGUGUAGCGGUGAAAUGCGUAGAUAUAGGAAGGAACACCAGUGGCGAAGGCGACCACCUGGACUGAUACUGACACUGAGGUGCGAAAGCGUGGGGAGCAAACAGGAUUAGAAACCCUAGUAGUCC
RNAcentral lists this ribosomal RNA (450 nucleotides) under uncultured bacterium. RNAcentral describes it as "bacterial SSU rRNA". It matches the Rfam family "Bacterial small subunit ribosomal RNA", at positions 354 to 796 of the family's 1533-position model. The record is from RNAcentral.